RNAcentral lists this ribosomal RNA (400 nucleotides) under uncultured bacterium. RNAcentral's name for it is "bacterial SSU rRNA". It matches the Rfam family "Bacterial small subunit ribosomal RNA", at positions 28 to 399 of the family's 1533-position model. The record is from RNAcentral.
GACGAACGCUGGCGGCGUGCCUAACACAUGCAAGUCGAGCGGAGUUGGAAGAAGGUGCAGAGAUGCAGCGGGAGCCGACUUAGCGGCGAACGGGUGAGUAACACGUGGGCAAUCUGCCCUCUGGAGCGGGAUAACAGACCGAAAGGCCUGCUAAUACCGGAUAAUACUGAAUGACUACUGUCGUUUAGUCAAAGAAGGCUUCUGUUUACAUGCUUUUGCUGAAGGAUGAGUCCGCGUACCAUUAGCUAGUUGGUAGGGUAAGGGCCUACCAAGGCGACGAUGGUUAGCUGGUCUGAGAGGAUGAUCAGCCACACUGGAACUGAGACACGGUCCAGACUCCUACGGGAGGCAGCAGUGGGGAAUUUUGCGCAAUGGGGGAAACCCUGACGCAGCAACGCCG